This 1442-nucleotide ribosomal RNA is filed under the name uncultured organism. RNAcentral's name for it is "SSU rRNA". It matches the Rfam family "Bacterial small subunit ribosomal RNA". The record is from RNAcentral.
ACGCUAGCUACAGGCUUAACACAUGCAAGUCGAGGGGCAGCAUGGUCUUAGCUUGCUAAGGCCGAUGGCGACCGGCGCACGGGUGAGUAACACGUAUCCAACCUGCCGUCUACUCUUGGACAGCCUUCUGAAAGGAAGAUUAAUACAAGAUGGCAUCAUGAGUCCGCAUGUUCACAUGAUUAAAGGUAUUCCGGUAGACGAUGGGGAUGCGUUCCAUUAGAUAGUAGGCGGGGUAACGGCCCACCUAGUCUUCGAUGGAUAGGGGUUCUGAGAGGAAGAUCCCCCACAUUGGAACUGAGACACGGUCCAAACUCCUACGGGAGGCAGCAGUGAGGAAUAUUGGUCAAUGGGCGAGAGCCUGAACCAGCCAAGUAGCGUGAAGGAUGACUGCCCUAUGGGUUGUAAACUUCUUUUAUAAAGGAAUAAAGUCGGGUAUGGAUACCCGUUUGCAUGUACUUUAUGAAUAAGGAUCGGCUAACUCCGUGCCAGCAGCCGCGGUAAUACGGAGGAUCCGAGCGUUAUCCGGAUUUAUUGGGUUUAAAGGGAGCGUAGAUGGAUGUUUAAGUCAGUUGUGAAAGUUUGCGGCUCAACCGUAAAAUUGCAGUUGAUACUGGAUAUCUUGAGUGCAGUUGAGGCAGGCGGAAUUCGUGGUGUAGCGGUGAAAUGCUUAGAUAUCACGAAGAACUCCGAUUGCGAAGGCAGCCUGCUAAGCUGCAACUGACAUUGAGGCUCGAAAGUGUGGGUAUCAAACAGGAUUAGAUACCCUGGUAGUCCACACGGUAAACGAUGAAUACUCGCUGUUUGCGAUAUACGGCAAGCGGCCAAGCGAAAGCGUUAAGUAUUCCACCUGGGGAGUACGCCGGCAACGGUGAAACUCAAAGGAAUUGACGGGGGCCCGCACAAGCGGAGGAACAUGUGGUUUAAUUCGAUGAUACGCGAGGAACCUUACCCGGGCUUAAAUUGCAGAUGAAUUACGGUGAAAGCCGUAAGCCGCAAGGCAUCUGUGAAGGUGCUGCAUGGUUGUCGUCAGCUCGUGCCGUGAGGUGUCGGCUUAAGUGCCAUAACGAGCGCAACCCUUGUUGUCAGUUACUAACAGGUUCCGCUGAGGACUCUGACAAGACUGCCAUCGUAAGAUGUGAGGAAGGUGGGGAUGACGUCAAAUCAGCACGGCCCUUACGUCCGGGGCUACACACGUGUUACAAUGGGGGGUACAGAGGGCCGCUACCACGCGAGUGGAUGCCAAUCCCAAAAACCUCUCUCAGUUCGGACUGGAGUCUGCAACCCGACUCCACGAAGCUGGAUUCGCUAGUAAUCGCGCAUCAGCCACGGCGCGGUGAAUACGUUCCCGGGCCUUGUACACACCGCCCGUCAAGCCAUGGGAGCCGGGGGUACCUGAAGUGCGUAACCGCGAGGAGCGCCCUAGGGUAAAACUGGUGAAUGGG